Molecule: ribosomal RNA, 473 nt
Filed under: uncultured bacterium
Lineage: Bacteria
Description: bacterial SSU rRNA
Rfam family: Bacterial small subunit ribosomal RNA
Source: RNAcentral
UCAGGACGAACGCUGGCGGCGUGCUUCAUACAUGCAAGUCGAACGAGAAGCAGUCUUCGGACUGUGGAAAGUGGCGGACGGGUGAGUAAAAUGUAGAGAAUCUGCCCUAGAGCGGGGGAUAGCAGUUGGAAACGACUAUUAAUACCCCAUAUGAGCGUACUUGAGAUAGUAUUCUUGAAAACUCCGGUGCUCUAGGAUGAGUCUGCAUCUGAUUAGCUAGUAGGCGGUGUAAUGGACCACCCAGGCGACGAUCAGUAGCUGGUUUGAGAGGAUGAUCAGCCACAAUGGGACUGAGACACGGCCCAUACUCCUACGGGAGGCAGCAGUAGGGAAUUUUGCGCAAUGGGGGAAACCCUGACGCAGCAACGCCGCGUGAAUGAAGAAGCCCUUCGGGGUGUAAAGUUCUGUCAGUGGGGACGAAACUUGACGGUACCCACAGAGGAAGCAUCGGCUAACUCCGUGCCAGCCGCAGC